CAACCCUCAAGCACUGCUUGGUAUUGGAUGCUACUAUUGUGGUGCAUCUCAAAAGUAUUAGUAGUGGCAUUUAGCUUCUAGUGUAGUAAGUUUCUUUGCUAUGGAGUUUGAUUGCUGACUGCUAGAACCCCUAAUUUAUUUAAA
This 144-nucleotide unclassified non-coding RNA is filed under the name uncultured Helotiales. RNAcentral's name for it is "sequence contains ITS2". The record is from RNAcentral. Lineage: Eukaryota; Fungi; Ascomycota; Leotiomycetes; Helotiales.